CCCGCUGAACUUAAGCAUAUCAAUAAGCGGAGGAAAAGAAACCAACAGGGAUUGCCUUAGUAACGGCGAGUGAAGCGGCAAUAGCUCAGAUUUGAAAUCUGCCUUAUGGCCGAAUUGUAAUCUGUAGAGGAUGCUUUGGGUGCAGUAACUACAGAGUCUCCUGGAAUGGAGCACCAUAGAGGGUGAGAGUCCCGUUUGUAGUCAACUAAACCUAUGUAAAGCUCUUUCAAUGAGUCGGGUAGUUUGGGAAUGCUGCUCAAAAUGGGAGGUAAAUCCCUUCUAAAGCUAAAUAUUGGCCAGAGACCGAUAGCGCACAAGUAGAGUGAUCGAAAGAUGAAAAGCAUUCCGGAAGGAAGGUUAAAAAGUACGUGAAAUUGCUGAAAGGGAAGCGCUUGUGGCCAGACUUGGAGUUUGAAGUUCACCGGGUGUUUUUCACCUGGGUACUCUUCAGUUCCAGGCUAGCAUCAGUUUUGACAGAGAGAUAAAAGCAUUUGGAAUGUAGCUCUUUCGGGAGUGUUAUAGCCGGUUGUAAUAUCUCUGUUGGGACUGAGGCAUGCGAAAUCAUGGAUGCUGGCAUAAUGGUCAUCAGCGACCCGUCUUGAAACACGG
Molecule: ribosomal RNA, 609 nt
Filed under: uncultured fungus
Lineage: Eukaryota; Fungi
Description: eukaryotic LSU rRNA
Rfam family: Eukaryotic large subunit ribosomal RNA
Source: RNAcentral